This 403-nucleotide ribosomal RNA is filed under the name uncultured bacterium. Its description in RNAcentral is "partial 16S ribosomal RNA". It matches the Rfam family "Bacterial small subunit ribosomal RNA", at positions 28 to 526 of the family's 1533-position model. The record is from RNAcentral.
GACGAACGCUGGCGGCGUGCCUAAUACAUGCAAGUCGAACGCAGUGGGGACGGGUGAGUAACCCGUGGGUAAACUCCCAUCAGAGGGGAUCACACUUGGAAAAAGGUGCUAAACCGAUACUGCUGGAUGGACCAGCGGUGCAUUAGCUCGUUGGGAAGGUAACGGCUCACCAAGGCAACGAUGCAUAGCCGACCGGACAGGGGGAUAGGCCACACUGGCACUAAGACACGGCCCAGAACCCUACGGUAGGCAGCAGUAGGGAAUCUUCGUCAAGGGACGAAAGUCUGACCGAGCAACGCCGCGUGCGGGAAGAAGGUUUUCGGAACGUAAAACUCUGUUGUUAGAGAAGCGGUAUCUAACCAGAAAGCCACGGCUAACUACGGGCCAGCAGCCGCGGUAAUAC